AUAGCCACCGGAGUUCCCCCAAACACUUCAGUGAGUUGUUACUGAUGAUUACUCAAUGAAAUGGUCGAGGGAACUCUAGUGUAAAC
This 86-nucleotide microRNA precursor is filed under the name Olea europaea subsp. europaea. The record is from RNAcentral. Lineage: Eukaryota; Viridiplantae; Streptophyta; Magnoliopsida; Lamiales; Oleaceae.